UUUUUAGUUAAAUAAAAUAUUUUGUGUACUAUAAGACUAAUAUAUAUAUGUUACAAGCCAAUUUUGGGCCCAACUUCUUACCCUUUACAACCAGACCCAAACCCCAAAACCCGGGAGCCGAAUUAGCCUACCAUUACAACUAACCCCCUAAUCCCCACCAACCUAGCCCACCUAAACUGACCCACUAACCCAAUGCAUCAGCCCAAUCAGCCCAAACUACCCAAAACCCUAGCCCCACUUCCGGUUCCCACUUGCGCCACCAACCCUGCAGCACCAGCAUGCCCAUCCCUCUGUCUGCUGCCUACUGACCGCCAUUUCUGUCCCAUCACCUCUGUCCACCCCCAUGCCACCGUUCAACCACCAUCUGCAAGACAAGGAGAAUACGCAAUUAGCAAAAUAUAGGAAACAGACUUGCAUGAAUGGCUAUAUAAACCGAUUAGAAGCAAAAAUCGAGAGGAUUUUUUUUAGAGGGGAUUCAAACAAGAGAAUAACAGAAUAGAUUCAAACACUAAGAAUAUAUAUCAAGCUGAUCAAAACUCAUUGAAGAAAUAAAAGGUUUUGUUCUUUUUUAGUUUCUGUCUACCUAUAUUUUCUUCUUUCGAAUACAUAGCAUAUUUCCUUUUAUUUUUUUUUGUUUCUCUCUUCUUUCAAAAAGAACACAUAUAUAUAUAUACAUAGAUAAAAAGAAAUAUAAAUAAAAAAAAACAAAAACGGUGGCCAGCGCCGGCGACGGGCCGACGAUCGGCCGGUGACCGGCCCCCCUGGCCGGAGCUCCCUCUCCCUCGCCCCUUUCUCUCUUCUUUCUCACCUUUUUUUUUCUUUUCUCUUCAUCAAAUGAUUUUUUUGUCAAAUUAAGGCCUUAUAUAGCCCACCAAACCGACGUCGUUUUGGGG
This 893-nucleotide long non-coding RNA is filed under the name Gossypium barbadense (sea-island cotton). Its description in RNAcentral is "long non-coding RNA (GBAR_LNC007824)". The record is from RNAcentral. Lineage: Eukaryota; Viridiplantae; Streptophyta; Magnoliopsida; Malvales; Malvaceae.